This 427-nucleotide ribosomal RNA is filed under the name uncultured bacterium. Its description in RNAcentral is "partial 16S ribosomal RNA". It matches the Rfam family "Bacterial small subunit ribosomal RNA", at positions 355 to 774 of the family's 1533-position model. The record is from RNAcentral.
UGGGGAAUAUUGCACAAUGGGCGCAAGCCUGAUGCAGCCAUGCCGCGUGUAUGAAGAAGGCCUUCGGGUUGUAAAGUACUUUCAGCGAGGAGGAAGGCGGUAAGGUUAAUAACCUUAUCGAUUGACGUUACUCGCAGAAGAAGCACCGGCUAACUCCGUGCCAGCAGCCGCGGUAAUACGGAGGGUGCAAGCGUUAAUCGGAAUUACUGGGCGUAAAGCGCACGCAGGCGGUCUGUCAAGUCGGAUGUGAAAUCCCCGGGCUCAACCUGGGAACUGCAUUCGAAACUGGCAGGCUAGAGUCUUGUAGAGGGGUGUAGAAUUCCAGGUGUAGCGGUGAAAUGCGUAGAGAUCUGGAGGAAUACCGGUGGCGAAGGCGGCCCCCUGGACAAAGACUGACGCUCAGGUGCGAAAGCGUGGGGAGCAAACA